This 460-nucleotide ribosomal RNA is filed under the name uncultured bacterium. RNAcentral describes it as "partial 16S ribosomal RNA". It matches the Rfam family "Bacterial small subunit ribosomal RNA", at positions 338 to 795 of the family's 1533-position model. The record is from RNAcentral.
CCUACGGGUGACAGCAGUGAGGAAUAUUGGUCAAUGGACGCAAGUCUGAACCAGCCAUGCCGCGUGCAGGAAGACGGCUCUAUGAGUUGUAAACUGCUUUUGUACGAGGGUAAACGCAGAUACGCGUAUCUGUCUGAAAGUAUCGUACGAAUAAGGAUCGGCUAACUCCGUGCCAGCAGCCGCGGUAAUACGGAGGAUUCAGGCGUUAUCCGGAUUUAUUGGGGUUAACGGGUGCGUAGGCGGUCGGAUAAGGUAGAGGUGCAAUCCCGAGGCUCAACUUCGGAAUGGCCUCUGAUACUGUUCGGCUAGCGCGUAGUUGCGGUAGGCGGAAUGUCUGGUGUAGCGGUGAAAUGCUUAGAGAUCAUCCAGCACCCCGAUUGCGAAGGCAGCUUACCACGCUACUUCUGACGUUGAGGCACGAAAGCGUGGGGAGCAAACAGGAUUAGAUACCCGUGUAGUC